RNAcentral lists this ribosomal RNA (1209 nucleotides) under Campylobacter coli. Its description in RNAcentral is "partial 23S ribosomal RNA". It matches the Rfam family "Bacterial large subunit ribosomal RNA", at positions 376 to 1599 of the family's 2925-position model. Lineage: Bacteria; Pseudomonadati; Campylobacterota; Epsilonproteobacteria; Campylobacterales; Campylobacteraceae. The record is from RNAcentral.
UAUGCGAAAAACAAACCUUAGCUAGCAGUAUCCUGAGUAGGGCGGGACACGAGGAAUCCUGUCUGAAUCUGGGUCGACCACGAUCCAACCCUAAAUACUAAUACCAGAUCGAUAGUGCACAAGUACCGUGAGGGAAAGGUGAAAAGAACUGAGGUGAUCAGAGUGAAAUAGAACCUGAAACCAUUUGCUUACAAUCAUUCAGAGCCCUAUGUAGCAAUACAGGGUGAUGGACUGCCUUUUGCAUAAUGAGCCUGCGAGUUGUGGUGUCUGGCAAGGUUAAGCAAACGCGAAGCCGUAGCGAAAGCGAGUCUGAAUAGGGCGCUUAGUCAGAUGCUGCAGACCCGAAACGAAGUGAUCUAUCCAUGAGCAAGUUGAAGCUAGUGUAAGAACUAGUGGAGGACUGAACCCAUAGGCGUUGAAAAGCCCCGGGAUGACUUGUGGAUAGGGGUGAAAGGCCAAUCAAACUUCGUGAUAGCUGGUUCUCUCCGAAAUAUAUUUAGGUAUAGCGUUGUGUCGUAAUAUAAGGGGGUAGAGCACUGAAUGGGCUAGGGCAUACACCAAUGUACCAAACCCUAUCAAACUCCGAAUACCUUAUAUGUAAUCACAGCAGUCAGGCGGCGAGUGAUAAAAUCCGUCGUCAAGAGGGAAACAACCCAGACUACCAGCUAAGGUCCCUAAAUCUUACUUAAGUGGAAAACGAUGUGAAGUUACUUAAACAACCAGGAGGUUGGCUUAGAAGCAGCCAUCCUUUAAAGAAAGCGUAAUAGCUCACUGGUCUAGUGAUUUUGCGCGGAAAAUAUAACGGGGCUAAAGUAAGUACCGAAGCUGUAGACUUAGUUUAGUAAGUGGUAGGAGAGCGUUCUAUUUGCGUCGAAGGUAUACCGGUAAGGAGUGCUGGAGCGAAUAGAAGUGAGCAUGCAGGCAUGAGUAGCGAUAAUUAAUGUGAGAAUCAUUAACGCCGUAAACCCAAGGUUUCCUACGCGAUGCUCGUCAUCGUAGGGUUAGUCGGGUCCUAAGUCGAGUCCGAAAGGGGUAGACGAUGGCAAAUUGGUUAAUAUUCCAAUACCAACAUUAGUGUGCGAUGGAAGGACGCUUAGGGCUAAGGGGGCUAGCGGAUGGAAGUGCUAGUCUAAGGUCGUAGGAGGUUAUACAGGCAAAUCCGUAUAACAAUACUCCGAGAACUGAAAGGCUUUUUGAAGUCUUCGGAUG